GGGUGUGGUCACGGGGCGGGAUCUACGAAGGAUGCAGGGGCGAGGCCGGGUCUCUGCAGGAUGUGCGGUCGCGGGUCGGAGUCUAUAAAGGUUUUUCAGUGUCCACACUCAGGGUUAUCUCCCAGCAGGAGCAGGGGAAAAUGCCAUGGGUCAUUGCUCUGCCAGGGCCUCCCUGCACAGGUGAGUGAGGAGAUUCUUAGGUCAAGACAAAGCAUAAACAAUCAACCCCAACAGAAAAAUCUUCCGAAGAACAAUUACAAGAAGUAACUCAGGAAAUUUUCCCAAGAGGCAAUCCAGAAGAGUUUGAGUUUCGAUCAGCUUGUAGGACUGAGACAGGAGCAGAACAUUGCUGGAAGAAAUUCACAAUACAGACCAGGAUGAAGUUAUUUCCCCAAAAGAGAGGUUCGAGGCAAGUGGUCAGCUCCCCGUUGAAAAUCACUGUAGCAGACAAAUACCGGGAAUGUAAUAAAUUGGAGAAAAGUUUGUCUCUGGGCACAAAGCCUGUUGUACCUCUGAGGGACAGGCCAGGAAAGAGAGCCAGUGGAUGGAGGAUGGGUGGCUGAGGCUUUCCAUGUGAGUCAUAUCUGAGUGGACAUGGGGCAGUUACCAGUGGGACAAAGCCCCAUGGAUGCCAUGUGUAUGGGAAGUCUUUCAGCAAGAACUCACACCUUACUUGGCAUCAGAUAAUUCAUACUACAGAGAAGCCCUGUGUAUGUAUUAAAUGUGGGGAAAAAAUCACAACUCAAGCCUUAUACAUCAUCAGAAAAUUCACCAUGGAUGGUGAAACCCUAUCUCUACUAAAAACACAAAAAUUAUCUGGGUGUGGUGGUGUAUGCUGGUAAUCCCGGCUACUCAGGAGGCUGAGGCAGAAGAAUUGCUUG
Molecule: long non-coding RNA, 881 nt
Filed under: Pan troglodytes (chimpanzee)
Lineage: Eukaryota; Metazoa; Chordata; Mammalia; Primates; Hominidae
Description: long non-coding RNA NONPTRT016892
Source: RNAcentral